UGGGGAAUAUUGGACAAUGGGCGAAAGCCUGAUCCAGCAAUGCCGCGUGAGUGAUGAAGGCCUUAGGGUUGUAAAGCUCUUUUUACCAGGGAUGAUAAUGACAGUACCUGGAGAAUAAGCUCCGGCUAACUCCGUGCCAGCAGCCGCGGUAAUACGGAGGGAGCUAGCGUUGUUCGGAAUUACUGGGCGUAAAGCGUGCGUAGGCGGCCAUUCAAGUCAGAGGUGAAAGCCUGGAGCUCAACUCCAGAACUGCCUUUGAAACUAGAUGGCUAGAAUCUUGGAGAGGUGAGUGGAAUUCCGAGUGUAGAGGUGAAAUUCGUAGAUAUUCGGAAGAACACCAGUGGCGAAGGCGGCCAACUGGCUCGAUACUGACGCUGAGGUGCGAAAGCGUGGGGAGCAAACAGGAUUAGAUACCCACGUAGUCCCUGAGCGGGCUGGCAAGGCGCAU
This 448-nucleotide ribosomal RNA is filed under the name uncultured bacterium. RNAcentral's name for it is "bacterial SSU rRNA". It matches the Rfam family "Bacterial small subunit ribosomal RNA", at positions 355 to 825 of the family's 1533-position model. The record is from RNAcentral.